GUUUCCAAGCACAAGUUGAAAGCAGAGUUCCAAAACACAUCAUACUUAUACUCUUUAACAUAUUUGAGAUGUUCUAACAUACAUACCAUAUUGUAUCUAAGGUUUCAUCUAGUCUAUAAUGUAUUAUUCCAAUGCAAAAUAACAGUGUCACAGUACAGAUGGAUCUUGAGGGGACAAGAAAUGCCAGCAAACUUUAGGCUUUUUCAUAUCUGAAAUUAUAUGAAUGGUACAGCUUUUCUGCAGGCCAUGAUCUAGCCACCAGCACAAUGGACUACCCAGGACUUAUUCCCAGUUCUGUCACAGUCAUCACAGGACUUCAGCUAAAGCUCUUUGCACUUUCUGUUGUGGUAUAAUUAAGUGUAGAAAUAAAAGCAAAACUUAAGUGAUUGAAA
Long non-coding RNA from Passer domesticus (house sparrow), 392 nucleotides. RefSeq lists it as uncharacterized. Lineage: Eukaryota; Metazoa; Chordata; Aves; Passeriformes; Passeridae. The record is from RefSeq and is a predicted model, not a curated record. The transcript has 2 exons.